GGCUCAGGAUGAACGCUAGCGGCAGGCCUAACACAUGCAAGUCGAGGGGCAGCACAAGGUAGCAAUACUGAGGUGGCGACCGGCGCACGGGUGAGUAACGCGUAUGCAAUCUACCCUUUAUCGGGGGAUAGCUCGUCGAAAGGCGAAUUAAUACCCCAUAACACUGCAAUUCGGCAUCGAGAAGCAGUUAAAACUCCGGUGAUAAGGGAUGAGCAUGCGUGACAUUAGCUAGUUGGUGAGGUAACGGCUCACCAAGGCUACGAUGUCUAAGGGGUCUGAGAGGAUGAUCCCUCACACUGGUACUGAGACACGGACCAGACUCCUACGGGAGGCAGCAGUGAGGAAUAUUGGUCAAUGGGGGCAACCCUGAACCAGCCAUGCCGCGUGGAGGAAGAAGGCCCUAAGGGUUGUAAACUUCUUUUGUACGGGGGUAACCUCGGAUACGUGUAUCCGACUGAAAGUACUGUACGAAUAAGCAACGGCUAACUCCGUGCCAGCAGCCGCGGUAAUACGGAGGUUGCAAGCGUUAUCCGGAUUUAUUGGGUUUAAAGGGUGCGUAGGCGGGUUUGUAAGUCAGUGGUGAAAGACUGUCGCUUAACGAUAGCAUUGCCAUUGAUACUGCAAGUCUUGAGUACACUUGAGGUAGGCGGAAUGUGUAGUGUAGCGGUGAAAUGCUUAGAUAUUACACAGAACACCAAUUGCGAAGGCAGCUUACUAAAUUGUCACUGACGCUGAGGCACGAAAGCGUGGGGAUCAAACAGGAUUAGAUACCCUGGUAGUCCACGCCGUAAACUAUGAUCACUGGAUGUUAGCGAUACACAGCUAGCGUCUGAGUAAAAGCAUUAAGUGAUCCACCUGGGGAGUACGUCGGCCACGAUGAAACUCAAU
Molecule: ribosomal RNA, 888 nt
Filed under: uncultured bacterium
Lineage: Bacteria
Description: bacterial SSU rRNA
Rfam family: Bacterial small subunit ribosomal RNA
Source: RNAcentral